CCUGCGACAGGUGAGACAAGAGAGAGACAGGUAGACAGACAGGUAGAGAGAGACAUGAGAGAGAGACAGGUAGAGAGAGACAGGAGAGAGAGACAGGUAGAGAGAGACAGGAGAGAGAGACAGGUAGAGAGAGACCGGUAGAGAGAGACAGGAGAGAGAGACAUGAGAGAGAGACAGGUAGAGAGAGACCGGUAGAGAGAGACAGGAGAGAGAGACAGGUAGAGAGAGACCGGUAGAGAGAGACAGGAGAGAGAGACAGGUAGAGAGAGACCGGUAGAGAGAGACAGGAGAGAGAGACAGGUAGAGAGAGACAGGUAGAGAGAGACAGGAGAGAGAGACAGGUAGAGAGAGACCGGUAGAGAGAGACAGGAGAGAGAGACAGGUAGAGAGAGACAGGAGAGAGAGACCGGAAGAGAGAGACCGGUAGAGAGAGACAGGAGAGAGAGACAGGUAGAGAGAGACAGGAGAGAGAGACAGGUAGAGAGAGACAGGAGAGAGAGACAGGUAGAGAGAGACCGGUAGAGAGAGACAUGAGAGAGAGACAGGUAGAGAGAGACAGGUAGAGAGAGACAUGAGAGAGAGACAGGAGAGAGAGACAGGUAGAGAGAGACAGGUAGAGAGAGACAUGAGAGAGAGACAGGAGAGAGAGACAGGUAGAGAGAGACAGGUAGAGAGAGACAUGAGAGAGAGACAGGAGAGAGAGACAGGUA
Molecule: long non-coding RNA, 710 nt
Organism: Acanthochromis polyacanthus (spiny chromis)
Lineage: Eukaryota; Metazoa; Chordata; Actinopteri; Pomacentridae
Exons: 7
Source: RefSeq, a predicted model, not a curated record